CCUACGGGAUGCAGCAGUGAGGAAUAUUGGUCCAUGGCCGGAAGGCUGAACCAGCCAAGUCGCGUGAGGGAAUAAGGCCCUAUGGGUCGUAAACCUCUUUUGUCAGGGAGCAAAGCCGUCCACGUGUGGACGAGAGGCGAUUACCUGAAUAAAAAGCAUCGGCUAACUCCGUGCCAGCAGCCGCGGUAAUACGGAGGAUGCCAGCGUUAUCCGGAUUUAUUGGGUUUAAAGGGUGCGUAGGCGGAGUGUCAAGUCAGCGGUAAAAUUUCGGGGGUCAACCCCGUCGGUCCGUUGAAACUGACGCCCGUGAGUGAGUGAGAAGUAAGCGGAAUGCGUGGUGUAGCGGUGAAAUGCAUAGAUAUCACGCAGAACGCCGAUUGCGAAGGCAGCUUACCGGCGCUCAACGGACGCUGAGGCACGAAAGUGCGGGUAUCGAACAGGAUUAGAUACCCUUGUAGUC
This 460-nucleotide ribosomal RNA is filed under the name uncultured bacterium. Its description in RNAcentral is "partial 16S ribosomal RNA". It matches the Rfam family "Bacterial small subunit ribosomal RNA", at positions 338 to 795 of the family's 1533-position model. The record is from RNAcentral.